This 2871-nucleotide ribosomal RNA is filed under the name human gut metagenome. Its description in RNAcentral is "bacterial LSU rRNA". It matches the Rfam family "Bacterial large subunit ribosomal RNA". The record is from RNAcentral.
AGUGCAUGUGGCGGAUGCCUUGGCGAUCACAGGCGAAGAAAGACGCGGCAGCCUGCGAAAAGCUGCGGGGAGCUGGCAAACGAGCUUUGAUCCGCAGAUAUCUGAAUGGGGGAACCCACACCGCAAGGUGUAUCCGUGACUGAAUACAUAGGUUACGGAGGCGAACGAGGAGAACUGAAACAUCUAAGUAUCCUCAGGAAAAGAAAUCAACCGAGAUUCCGGCAGUAGCGGCGAGCGAACCCGGAGGAGCCUAGCUUUUGAUAGUACGAACUUUAGCCGAAAGGUCCUGGAAAGGCCUGCUAUAGUGGGUGAUAGCCCCGUAGGCGAAAGAGUUCGUACGGUACUAAGGAAGCGAGAAGUAGAGCGGGACACGUGGAAUCCUGUUCGAAGAUGGGGGGACCAUCCUCCAAGGCUAAAUACUCGUGAUCGACCGAUAGUGAACCAGUACCGUGAGGGAAAGGCGAAAAGAACCCCGGGAGGGGAGUGAAAUAGAACCUGAAACCGCAUGCAUACAAACAGUAGGAGCCUCACCAGAGGUGACUGCGUACCUUUUGCAUAAUGGGUCAGCGACUUACAUUCUGUGGCGAGCUUAACCGAAUAGGGGAGGCGCAGCGAAAGCGAGUUCGAAAUGAGCGUCCAGUCGCAGGGUGUAGACCCGAAACCAGAUGAGCUAUCCAUGGCCAGGUUGAAGGUGUGGUAACACACACUGGAGGACCGAACCGACUAGUGUUGCAAAAUUAGCGGAUGAGCUGUGGAUAGGGGUGAAAGGCCAAACAAAUCUGGAGAUAGCUGGUUCUCCCCGAAAACUAUUGAGGUAGUGCCUCGUGUGUCGCUCCAGGGGGUAGAGCACUGUUUUGGCUAGGGGGACAUGGAGUCUUACCAAACCAAGGCAAACUCCGAAUACCUGGAAGCGUAAGCACGGGAGACAGAGCACCGGGUGCUAACGUCCGGACUCAAAAGGGAAACAACCCAGACCGCCGGCUAAGGUCCCCAAUAACAGCUAAGUGGAAAACGAAGUGGAAAGGCCGUGACAACCAGGAAGUUGGCUUAGAAGCAGCCAUCCUUCAAAGAAAGCGUAAUAGCUCACUGGUCGAGUCCUUCUGCGCGGAAGAUGUAACGGGGCUAAGCUGUUAACCGAAGCCGCGGAUGCACUGAUUAUUCAGUGCGUGGUAGGGGAGCGUUCUGUAAGUCUGCGAAGGCGGUUCGAGAGGACUGCUGGAGAUAUCAGAAGUGCGAAUGCUGACAUGAGUAACGUUAAAGCAGGUGAAAAGCCUGCUCGCCGUAAGCCCAAGGAUUCCUGCUCUACGUUCAUCGGAGCAGGGUGAGUCGGCUCCUAAGGUCAGGCCGAAAGGCGUAGCCGAUGGGAAUCAGGUUAAUAUUCCUGAACCUGCGUCAGAUGCGAUGGGGGGACGGAGCAUGAAAGAUCAUCCGGGUGUUGGAUGUCCCGGUUGACGAGCGUAGGAGGUCUGCAGGCAAAUCCGCAGACGCAUCUCCAAGGCGAAGUCACGUGCCGCCACGGCGGCGAAGUGAUCGGAAGUGCUUCCAAGAAAAGCCUCUAAGCACCAGUCUGGCGCGGACCGUACCGCAAACCGACACUGGUGGGCGAGCUGAAUAUGCUCAGGCGCUUGAGAGAACUCGGGAGAAGGAACUCGGCAAAUUGACACCGUAACUUCGGAAGAAGGUGUGCCGUAGUAGCGUGAGAGGAGAGACACCUUGAGCGUGAAUCGGUCUCAGAGAAUAGGUGGCUGCGACUGUUUAUUAAAAACACAGCACUCUGCAAAGUCGAAAGACGACGUAUAGGGUGUGAUGCCUGCCCGGUGCUGGAAGAUUAAUUGAUGGGGUGAGAGCCCUUGAUCGAAGUCCCAGUAAACGGCGGCCGUAACUAUAACGGUCCUAAGGUAGCGAAAUUCCUUGUCGGGUAAGUUCCGACCUGCACGAAUGGCGUAACGACUUCCCCACUGUCUCGACCAGGAGCUCGGCGAAAUUGCAGUACGAGUAAAGAUGCUCGUUAAGCGCAGAAGGACGAAAAGACCCCGGGACCUUUACUAUACCUUGGUAUUGGCAUUCGGUGUGGAUUGUGUAGCAUAGGCGGGAGGCCGAGAGGCGCGGUCGCCAGAUCGCGCGGAGCCGUAAGGUGAAAUACCGCUCUGUUCGCAUUGGAUGUCUAACCUCGAACAGUCAUCCUGUUCAGGGACAGUGCCUGGCGGGUAGUUUAACUGGGGCGGUUGCCUCCCAAAGAGUAACGGAGGCGCCCAAAGGUCCGCUCAGCCCGGUUGGCAAUCGGGUGGCGAGUGCAAGUGCACAAGCGGGCUUGACUGCGAGGACGACGGUCCGAGCAGGGACGAAAGUCGGGACUAGUGAUCCGGUGCCGGUGUACGGACGCGGCAUCGCUCAACGGAUAAAAGGUACCCCGGGGAUAACAGGCUGAUCAUUCCCAAGAGUCCAUAUCGACGGGAUGGUUUGGCACCUCGAUGUCGGCUCGUCGCAUCCUGGGGCUGGAGCAGGUCCCAAGGGUUCGGCUGUUCGCCGAUUAAAGCGGCACGCGAGCUGGGUUCAGAACGUCGUGAGACAGUUUGGUCUCUAUCCUCUGCGCUCGUUGGAAUGCUGAGGAGGCCUGCCCAUAGUACGAGAGGACCUGGGUGGACGAACCUCUGGUAUGCCGGUUGUCACGCCAGUGGCACGGCCGGUUGGCUACGUUCGGAAGGGAUAACCGCUGAAAGCAUCUAAGCGGGAAGCCUGCUCCAAGAUAAGCAUUCCGUGGAACCUUCGAGUUCCUGUAGUCCCCAUGCAGAACACGUGGUCGAUAGGCCGGACGUGGAAGCCCCGCGAGGGGUGGAGCCGACCGGUACUAACGGACGAAAGGCAACACUA